GUCGGGCAUAGUGUCGUGUGCCUGUAGUCCCAGCUACUCUGGAAGCUGAGGUAGGAGGAUCACUUUAGCCCAGGAGUUCAGAGACUGCAGUGACCUACGAUCACACCACUGCACUCCAGCCUGGCCAACACAGUGGGAUCCAGUCUCUU
Molecule: unclassified non-coding RNA, 149 nt
Organism: Callithrix jacchus (white-tufted-ear marmoset)
Lineage: Eukaryota; Metazoa; Chordata; Mammalia; Primates; Cebidae
Rfam family: Metazoan signal recognition particle RNA
About the family: The signal recognition particle (SRP) is a universally conserved ribonucleoprotein. It is involved in the co-translational targeting of proteins to membranes. The eukaryotic SRP consists of a 300-nucleotide 7S RNA and six proteins: SRPs 72, 68, 54, 19, 14, and 9.
Source: Ensembl